This 587-nucleotide ribosomal RNA is filed under the name uncultured bacterium. RNAcentral describes it as "bacterial SSU rRNA". It matches the Rfam family "Bacterial small subunit ribosomal RNA", at positions 338 to 916 of the family's 1533-position model. The record is from RNAcentral.
CCUACGGGAGGCAGCAGUGGGGAAUUUUGGACAAUGGGGGAAACCCUGAUCCAGCCAUCCCGCGUGAGUGAAGAAGGCCUUCGGGUUGUAAAGCUCUUUCGAAAGUGAAGAAAACUUAUUUCGUAAUACGUUAUGAGUAUGACGGUAACUUUAGAAGAAGCACCGGCUAACUACGUGCCAGCAGCCGCGGUAAUACGUAGGGUGCGAGCGUUAAUCGGAAUUACUGGGCGUAAAGCGUGCGCAGGCGGUUUUGUAAGUCAGAUGUGAAAUCCCCGAGCUUAACUUGGGAACUGCGUUUGAAACUACAAGACUAGAGUGUGUCAGAGGGGGGUAGAAUUCCACGUGUAGCAGUGAAAUGCGUAGAGAUGUGGAGGAAUACCAAUGGCGAAGGCAGCCCCCUGGGAUAACACUGACGCUCAUGCACGAAAGCGUGGGGAGCGAACAGGAUUAGAUACCCUGGUAGUCCACGCCCUAAACGAUGUCAACUAGUUGUUGGUGGAGUAAGAUCCAUGAGUAACGUAGCUAACGCGUGAAGUUGACCGCCUGGGGAGUACGGUCGCAAGAUUAAAACUCAAAUGAAUUGACGG